Molecule: ribosomal RNA, 680 nt
Filed under: Escherichia coli
Lineage: Bacteria; Pseudomonadati; Pseudomonadota; Gammaproteobacteria; Enterobacterales; Enterobacteriaceae
Description: bacterial SSU rRNA
Rfam family: Bacterial small subunit ribosomal RNA
Source: RNAcentral
UCGACCGCCUGGGGAGUACGGCCGCAAGGUUAAAACUCAAAUGAAUUGACGGGGGCCCGCACAAGCGGUGGAGCAUGUGGUUUAAUUCGAUGCAACGCGAAGAACCUUACCUGGUCUUGACAUCCACGGAAGUUUUCAGAGAUGAGAAUGUGCCUUCGGGAACUGUGAGACAGGUGCUGCAUGGCUGUCGUCAGCUCGUGUUGUGAAAUGUUGGGUUAAGUCCCGCAACGAGCGCAACCCUUAUCCUUUGUUGCCAGCGGUCCGGCCGGGAACUCAAAGGAGACUGCCAGUGAUAAACUGGAGGAAGGUGGGGAUGACGUCAAGUCAUCAUGGCCCUUACGACCAGGGCUACACACGUGCUACAAUGGCGCAUACAAAGAGAAGCGACCUCGCGAGAGCAAGCGGACCUCAUAAAGUGCGUCGUAGUCCGGAUUGGAGUCUGCAACUCGACUCCAUGAAGUCGGAAUCGCUAGUAAUCGUGGAUCAGAAUGCCACGGUGAAUACGUUCCCGGGCCUUGUACACACCGCCCGUCACACCAUGGGAGUGGGUUGCAAAAGAAGUAGGUAGCUUAACCUUCGGGAGGGCGCUUACCACUUUGUGAUUCAUGACUGGGGUGAAGUCGUAACAAGGUAACCGUAGGGGAACCUGCGGUUGGAUCACCUCCUUACCUUAAAGAAGC